Macaca mulatta (Rhesus monkey) is the source of this 2032-nucleotide long non-coding RNA. The record is from Ensembl. Lineage: Eukaryota; Metazoa; Chordata; Mammalia; Primates; Cercopithecidae.
AGAAUGAAAGUCAAAAGAGAGUACGUCAUCUUUUUGAGAAUUUUAUUCACUUCAAAACAAAUUAAACACACCUAUUUCCAAUGGCAUUCCAGAGCCCAAUUUUCGAGGCUGAGGAAACACCCCAAGAACGCUUUGCGCAGAACGCUUCACAGCGUCCAAAACACUGCUGUCAGGGCGGGGCACAGCUGAAGGCCUGCAUCUCUCAGGGUUCCCUAACUGUUCCCUGAUUCAGUCAUCUAGAGAGCAAACACACAGUCAUUCCCCAGUUUCCUACUGACAUCACAGCGGAAGUCUGACUCCCGCGCGUCACCUUCACCCAGUUUCUGAGGCAACGAAUCACUGGCACAGAAGCUUCUGGUGGCGGGUUUCCGGAGAGCCCUGCAAACUACGAUGUCCCUCACCAGAAUUCGAUGAGGCAGAGUCUCUGCAUCUGGUCCCUGCCUGGCCUGGGCUCCAACAUCCACAGAAGCACCACAGCUGGGGAGCUUGGGAGUCACCACACACAGUCUGCUCUCUGCUCUGUGCUCCUCAGUCCCACAUACUCCUCCAAGUCACGGGAGCUGGAUGCAAUGGAGCCCCGGCCUCCUGUAGCCUCACUCCAGGACAGAAUCGCUGUCCUCUGAGGAGGAGGAAACCUGAAGGUCCUCAUAGAGGACACUCAGUGGGACGGGAACACAGGGAGCCUCAGACUUCUCUGAGACAUGAGGGCUGUGAGCGAGGAAGGCUCCCGGCUUCUCAGAAGAGGGAAACGAGGGAGCUGUCAGUGAAGCCAAGACGGAUACCGUGUCAGACAUUUUGGUAGCUGAGCCAUCAGUGAGGGCAGGGUCCACGCGUGGCCUCUUAUUGGUUGUGUGGACCGGCAUUGGCCUGCUUGCAACCUGAAAGAAAGGAGAUCACACACGUUAGAAGUUCCUCGGCAUGGAGCCAACAUGGAAAUCAACCACAUCCAAAGACAAGGUGCACACAGCAGGAAAUUCUUAAUACGGUAUGGACAGGCGGUCCUUGGAAAUAGGGACAGAUCCUCAACGUGAGUGCUGAUCGGGACAAGACCCAUGAAAAAUGCACUCUCCAGCUAUGAUCUAAGAACACCAUUUUUCUAAAGACUGUAUCUUUGGCAUUCACUGGAUCAAAGCGCCUCCACUCAGCCUUCCAUGAAGUGGGACGGACUAAUGCCCUUCUGAAGGCAGGUUGGUGGCUCAAGGGUUCCCAGGACGUCUUUUCUGAAAACAUGCAUGUUCCUGGGGUGAGCCUCCUCCAUGUUUGGGGCCCCUGAGGGACUAAUUUCCUCACGCCACUAGGAAGAUGUUGUUGGCAGGCUUGCCAUCAUUGCACAGAAAGAAAGCAACAGGAAAUGCGGCAUCUUCAGAUGCCUUCACCUGGAAUCAAAUGGACCUGGAAGGAUCGUGGAGUCCCUGACCCCAAGAAGGCAGGGAAGAGGGGUUCCCCGAUCCCCUCACACACACGGGAACCUGAAAGGAAAUCAACCAGGGUGACCUAGAGGAGAAAAAGACCAGGGGCCCAGGGUGACACUCACCCUCAGAUAAUCACAAGAUUCCAUGGAUUCUUUUCGAUUUGGCAGCGGCUUCUCCGGAGGUUUCCCAGAAAAGGUCUUGGAAGAGAGCCUUCCUCUGCGGGUCUUGUUGCCUGCAGAAGAGAAAAAGUUCAGGCCAUGCACCCGGUUUUCCCCAGGAGACAGGGAGAACCCUGUCUGGGCCCAGUCCCGUUCUGUGUUUUGUGAUAAAUAAAUGGAACUCUUGUGCCCUUUCCACCUCUGCACCUUCCCUCAUGUGCCAACCUUCCCAUCCUCCCAGUGGCCUUCUAGGCUUCCCAAGUAAGGACCAGUAUUUGGAUUCCGUUGCUUUUCCCCCUGUCAUGGGGAACCUGCACGAAGCUUCCCCACCUGACAUCGUCCUCCCCCAGCUCGAUAUCAGGAACAAGUCUGUUAAUUAUUAUUAUUAUGAAAUACAAUAGAAAUUAAUAGUAAUCAUUGAUAAUAAUAAUCACAAUAAAGAUAGUAAAAAUUAAAACUGGU